Camelina sativa (false flax) is the source of this 620-nucleotide non-coding RNA. Lineage: Eukaryota; Viridiplantae; Streptophyta; Magnoliopsida; Brassicales; Brassicaceae. The record is from RefSeq and is a predicted model, not a curated record.
AACAAAUAUAAACCAUGAUAAAAAAAAAAGAUUAGACCUAGUUCUCUUUUCUCUCUCGAGCUCCAGCCCGCGGUGGUGUGUGGUGGAAGCGCCCGCUUCUUUCUCUCCACACAAUCCCCAUAUGUCCUCCGACAGGAUACUGUGAAGUUCUUUGUCCGUGGCUCGUGCUUGAAAGGGGAAAAUUGUGAAUUUUCUCAUGACUCUAAGGAUCCGCCGAAUAAUGUUUGCACAUUCUACCAAAAAGGGAUAUGCUUUUACGGGAGUAGAUGUAGAUAUGAUCAUGUCAGAGCUUCUUCCAAUGUUCAUAGACCACCUCUUACUUCUGAUUCUGAGUCUCCUGAUCGCUCUUUGUGUUGUGAAUCUUUCCACCAAUUUCCAUAAUUUUGCUUAUGUAUUGGGAAUUUGGUCAUAACUUUAAAACCGUAAACCUAAAUCAAGAUCUGUUCUUUUCUGUGGCUUAAUAUGUCUGUUGUGAAUCUUUCCACCAAGUUCCAUAAUUUUCUGGGUUGUUUUGGUACUCUGUUUGUACUCGCCAUCAAGACAGACGAAUUUAGUAGCUUUAUGGCUUCAUUGCCUCUGUUUAAGUAAUUGGAAAGUGAAAAAGCUUCUAGUUUUGAAUC